ACAUGAUUUGCAUAAUUAUAUGCAAUGUAAACCGCCGAAGAGACUCCUUAGAACAGUCACUUCACUCCUUUUUUCUACCUUUUUACUCCAAUCGAGAAAACCCUUCAUACUCUCUAGUAGCCUUUUUAAUUAUCCCUCUAACACUCUUCAUCACUUCAUCACCAUCUCUUAGACACUCAUCUACUAUGGCUAAAGCUAAAACCUUCUCCUCUUCCAAACGUCGUAGCCGUUGUUUCUAAAAGAACCAAACCCCUGAAGAAAUAGUUGAUCUAAAAUCAUCCUUUGACUCUGAUCCUCUCAAAACCGACAAUGGAAGCAGUAACUCCUCUGAAGAUCAAGUUUUGAGCCAGAAAAGAGCUGGUAAAAGACCCGUGGACCAAACCCCAAAAAGGUCUGUAUGCAAAAAGGGAGUAUUGGAGAGUAAUGAUUUUGGGCUUGAAGACAAGAUAAUCUUCUAUGGACCACCGGAGAUCAAAGUUUGAAUCUUACAAAUCAAAGUCCAUGGCAUAUGGUUGUAUGGGGAGAGAAAAGAAAAAGGCAAAAAGUUAGGGAAGCACAAAUUCAACAACACGAGGGAAGCACCAAACCUACAGGGAAGUAUCAUCUAUAUUAUUACUCUUUUUGGUUGUCAUCAUAAAAAAAGGAGAGAUUGUUACACUUUGAGUUUCAAUGAUGACACUCUCAAUAAUAGAAAUACUCAUCUCAUUCAAAUCUGUGCAGGAAAAUAAAAAGGAAAGAAAUGCAAGUGAUGCAACUCGUCCGUCUAGAUUAAGAAAUCAAGACAAGAAGAAGAGCAAACUAAUGUACAAGAUCUGAGAUCAUAGGGCAAUCAAAAGUGCAUUAAUCAGACAACUCAGCAGAAGAAAGAUGCAUUUACUAACGGAAAAAGAUCGAAUGAUCAACUCUCAAUCAACUAACUGUCCGAAAAUCCCUCGUGAAGAUAUGACAAACACAUCUAUUGACUGAAUUCAGAGGCAUCCCUUGGGUCAAAUCUCUUAAAAAUGUCUUGCCUCAACCAAUGGAUAUUUUUCAAUCUCGCUUGCAAACAAUGAAGAUUUUGGUGACUGAAAUAACUCAAGACCGGCCUAUAUGAAGAACCUAGAAAAGGAGAGAACACACGCAACUUCAAUACAUAAGCUCUCUACAUCUUUCUAGUUCUUAGUUAAAACACUAUAUUCUUGAGUUUGCUAGUGUCAUAAAAGAUAGAAGUAGAAAACAGUCAAGAGGUUGUGUCAUGAACUUGGGAAAUAUGCAACUGUACAUCGUUUGUGGUGAAUGAAAGAAAACCACGACUGAUGUAACAAAUUAUCUUUGAAGAACUAAAAGAACCCUUGUGACCCAAAGGAACUAGAUGUAGGUACCACACUGGUAGAUGAACUAGUAUAAAACUCUGUGUCUCAUUUAUUUCUUUUUGCAUAAAUAUUCGUUAUUGUAAUUUUGCUUUAACCU
Molecule: long non-coding RNA, 1449 nt
Organism: Nicotiana tabacum (common tobacco)
Lineage: Eukaryota; Viridiplantae; Streptophyta; Magnoliopsida; Solanales; Solanaceae
Source: RefSeq, a predicted model, not a curated record